UCCUACGGGAGGCAGCAGUGAGGAAUAUUGGUCAAUGGACGGAAGUCUGAACCAGCCAUGCCGCGUGAAGGAUGAAGGCGUUCUGCGUUGUAAACUUCUUUUAUCAGGGAAGAAACCACAGAUUUCUAUUUGUGUUGACGGUACCUGAGGAAUAAGCACCGGCUAACUCCGUGCCAGCAGCCGCGGUAAUACGGAGGGUGCAAGCGUUAUCCGGAUUUACUGGGUUUAAAGGGUGUGUAGGCGGGCAUUUAAGUCUGGGGUGAAAUCUCCGAGCUCAACUCGGAAACUGCCUUGGAUACUAUUUGUCUUGAAUUAUGUUGAGGUUGGCGGAAUAUAACAUGUAGCGGUGAAAUGCAUAGAUAUGUUAUAGAACACCGAUUGCGAAGGCAGCUAACUAAGCAUAUAUUGACGCUGAGGCACGAAAGCGUGGGGAUCAAACAGGAUUAGAUACCCCAGUAGUCGAC
This 464-nucleotide ribosomal RNA is filed under the name uncultured Chitinophagaceae bacterium. RNAcentral's name for it is "bacterial SSU rRNA". It matches the Rfam family "Bacterial small subunit ribosomal RNA", at positions 337 to 798 of the family's 1533-position model. The record is from RNAcentral. Lineage: Bacteria; Pseudomonadati; Bacteroidota; Chitinophagia; Chitinophagales; Chitinophagaceae.